Molecule: ribosomal RNA, 811 nt
Filed under: uncultured Acidobacteriota bacterium
Lineage: Bacteria; Pseudomonadati; Acidobacteriota
Description: bacterial SSU rRNA
Rfam family: Bacterial small subunit ribosomal RNA
Source: RNAcentral
AGAGUUUGAUCCUGGCUCAGAAUCAACGCUGGCGGCGUGCCUCAGACAUGCAAGUCGAACGCGAAAGGCCCCUUCGGGGGCCGAGUAGAGUGGCGUCCGGGUGAGUAACACGUGAGUAAUUUGCCUUCGGGUGGGGAAUAACAGCCGGAAACGGCUGCUAAUACCGCAUGAUGCAGCGGCACCUCAUGGUGACAGUUGUUAAAGCGGGGGACCAGCAAUGGCCUCGUGCCUGAAGAGAAGCUCGCGGCAGAUUAGCUAGUUGGUAGGGUAACGGCCUACCAAGGCAACGAUCUGUAGCCGGCCUGAGAGGGCGGUCGGCCACACUGACACUGACACACGGGUCAGACUCCUACGGGAGGCAGCAGUCGGGAAUUUUGGGCAAUGGGCGAAAGCCUGACCCAGCAACGCCGCGUGAAGGAUGAAGUUUUUCGGAAUGUAAACUUCACAAGAAUGGGAAGAAUAAGUCGGAGCUAACACCUCCGAUGAUGACGGUACCAUUUGUAAGCUCCGGCUAACUCCGUGCCAGCAGCCGCGGUAAUACGGGGGGAGCAAGCGUUGUUCGGAUUUACUGGGCGUAAAGGGCGCGUAGGCGGCGUGACAAGUCACUUGUGAAAUCUCCGGGCUUAACCCGGAGCGGUCAAGUGAUACUGUCGUGCUAGAGUGCGGAAGGGGCAACUGGAAUUCUCGGUGUAGCGGUGAAAUGCGUAGAUAUCGAGAGGAACACCUGCGGCGAAGGCGGGUUGCUGGGCCGACACUGACGCUGAGGCGCGAAAGCCAGGGGAGCGAACGGGAUUAGAUACCCCCGUAGUCC